UACGUAGGGGGCUAGCGUUAUCCGGAAUUACUGGGCGUAAAGGGUGCGUAGGUGGUUUCUUAAGUCAGAGGUGAAAGGCUACGGCUCAACCGUAGUAAGCCUUUGAAACUGGGGAACUUGAGUGCAGGAGAGGAGAGUGGAAUUCCUAGUGUAGCGGUGAAAUGCGUAGAUAUUAGGAGGAACACCAGUUGCGAAGGCGGCUCUCUGGACUGUAACUAACACUGAGGCACGAAAGCGUGGGGAGCAAAUAGG
Molecule: ribosomal RNA, 252 nt
Filed under: uncultured bacterium
Lineage: Bacteria
Description: partial 16S ribosomal RNA
Rfam family: Bacterial small subunit ribosomal RNA
Source: RNAcentral